AACCAGCUCUUCAAGUGGUCGGGAUAAUUAUUGGGCUUAAAGUGUCCGUAGCCGGUUUAGUAAGUUCCUGGUAAAAUCGGGUAGCUUAACUAUCUGCAUGCUAGGAAUACUGCUAUACUAGAGGGCGGGAGAGGUCUGAGGUACUACAGGGGGUAGGGGUGAAAUCUUAUAAUCCUUGUAGGACCACCAGUGGCGAAGGCGUCAGACUGGAACGCGCCUGACGGUGAGGUACGAAAGCCAGGGGAGCGAACCGGAUUAGAUACCCGGGUAGUCCUGGCCGUAAACGAUGCAUACUAGGUGAUGGCACGGCCAUGAGCCAUGUCAGUGCCGUAGGGAAACCGUUAAGUGUGCCGCCUGGGAAGUACGGUCGCAAGGCUAAAACUUAAAGGAAUUGGCGGGGGAGCACCGACAAGGGGUGAAGCCUGCGGUUU
RNAcentral lists this ribosomal RNA (431 nucleotides) under uncultured archaeon. Its description in RNAcentral is "bacterial SSU rRNA". It matches the Rfam family "Archaeal small subunit ribosomal RNA", at positions 474 to 903 of the family's 1478-position model. The record is from RNAcentral.